RNAcentral lists this non-coding RNA (114 nucleotides) under Neomicrococcus aestuarii. RNAcentral's name for it is "SAM-IV sequence". It matches the Rfam family "SAM (S-adenosyl methionine) riboswitch aptamer". Rfam says of the family: SAM-IV is a mRNA element that regulates gene expression via direct sensing of S-adenosylmethionine (SAM or AdoMet). Lineage: Bacteria; Bacillati; Actinomycetota; Actinomycetes; Micrococcales; Micrococcaceae. The record is from Rfam by way of RNAcentral.
GAUCAAGAAGUCCGACCUCACGCCCUCCGGCUGGUCGGCUGGCAACCGCGCAACGCGCACGGUGCCCCCGGAGGAAGAUCUGCUCGCGGCAAGUUGCCGUGGGAAGAGCGAAAG